This 2954-nucleotide long non-coding RNA is filed under the name Ananas comosus (pineapple). RNAcentral's name for it is "long non-coding RNA (ACOM_LNC019189)". The record is from RNAcentral. Lineage: Eukaryota; Viridiplantae; Streptophyta; Magnoliopsida; Poales; Bromeliaceae.
UUGCCCUAUUUUGGUAACAUUUUAUUUUCAAAUCAGAUCUUGAUAUAGGAAAACAGAGGAAUUUUUUUACAAAAUAAUUCUCUAAAAUUUUAUAAUUUAUAAAAGGCUAAAUUACAUAAAACACUCCUGUCAAAAUUCGAUUUUUCACUUUCCCUCCCUGUCAUUUAAAAAUCUACAUUUUGCCCCAUUGUAAAAUGAAAAAUAUUCACAGAGGUUACGGUGUGAACUGUGAUGAUAAAAUUACCAUUUUGCCACUCACAAUUUUGCCCCUCACUAAGUUUACAGGAGAGAAGGCUGAGGAUAUUUUUGGCAUAAAAAAAUAUAUAAUAAUAUUUUAUAAACAGAAUCUUAACGGAUUACUAACGGUAGGGGGGGGAGUGAAUAUUUUUUAUUUUAUAAGGGGGCAAAAUGUAGGUUUUUAAAUGACAUAGGGGGAAAGUGAAAAAUCGAAUUUUGACAGGAGGUUUUAUGUAAUUUAGCCUUUAUAAAAUAACCCUAUAAAAUUUAUAUUUGACAAACUAACCCUCUCUUCGGCACGUAGGAGCCACGUCGGAUUUUUUUCCAAAACACGGUGAAUCAUUCACCGUAUUAUGAAAGUCUCUAAGUUCUUUUAAAAACGGUGAAUCAUUGAGACGGUGAACGAUUUACCGUCUUCUUCAUAAUUUUUUUAUCACUCAGUGAGUAUUAUAUAUGGGAAAAAGAAAAAAAUGAGGUUGUUAAAAUUGUACGUAGAUUAUAUGAAAGAUAAAAAAAAAAAAGUGUGGUUGUUAGGAUUGUUUGUGGAUUAUUAGAAUUUUUAUUUGAUUGUUAAGAUUGUAUAGAUAGAUUAUUAGGAUUUUCAAAUUAUUAAGAUUAUAUAUGAUGUUUGAUUACUAGGAUUGUAUGGAUAGAUCAUUAAAUUUUUUUUAAUUGUUAGGAUUGUAUGGAUAGGUUAUUAUAAUUUUCAUGUUCAUAUAUGUGGUUGUUAGGAUUAUAUAUGGAUAUAGAAAGAAACAGUAAAUAAGUGAAAGACGGUUCACUGUAUUUACGAAGACGGUUCAUCGUCUUUAGGAGAAAUUUCCAACGUGGCUCCUAUAUGACAAAACGAGGGUUAGUUUUUCAAAUAUAAUUUUGGCAAGGUAUUUCGUAAAUAAUAAAAUUCUAGAGGGUUAUUUUGUAGAAAAGUCCGAAAACGGAUGUAUUAAAACUUAAUGAUAAAACUUCAAAUAUGUCAUUUAUUUUCACAAGCUUAAUUAGCUAGUAUAAUUCAUAUAAUUCUCAAUUAGUUUAAAUUUUACAAUCAAAGUGUUAUUAACUGACUUAAAUUGAAUAAAUUGAAAGAUUAUGUAGCCGACUCGAAAUAGUUACAUAGAUAGAUAGAUUCUGUACGUUAGAAUAUUUAGGUGGUUAUAUUCAAAUGAACAAAAAAUUCAUAUUAUUUUGAUGCAUUUAACUAAUUAGCUAAAUUACAGAAUAUUUUUCCGUCAAUAUCUGUCUUUUCACCUACCCUUCUGUCAUUCAAAAAUCUAUACUUUGCCCCCUUAAAAAGUAAAAAUAUUCGCUUUGAUUCUCGCCGUCAGUGUUUCGUUAGGCUUCCGUUUAUAUCCUAUUUUUUAACCUAAAAUACUCCUGAAACCUCCUUCCUCAUCCUUGGCCGGGCUGCCUCACCCUCCGCCGCCUCACCCUCACCGACCUCUCUCUUCAUGCCCACAGACGCAUCCUUGUCCGUCUUCGCUGCCUUUCCCUUGCUAUUGCCCACCUCUCUAUUCACGUCCACUCCGAAGAAGAUAAAAAAUAAUUUGGUUAUUUUGUCACAGUGUACCUUCAUAUAAAUAUCUUUUAUUUUUUAAGAAAGUGAAGUGUAGCUUUUUAAAUGACAGAAAAAAAAAAGUCUGUGUUGACAGAUAUUUUUUUUUAUGAUUUAGCCUAACUAAUUUAUUAAAUGUCACUGUUGUUGGCUGACUGCAGGGGAUGGCAAAAGUUGAAUUAUGCAGACCGUAGAAAAAUGCGAGCUUACUGAAAAGCUGACUUGGACAACUAUUUCAUCAUCUUUAGAGUUGAUUUUGAAACUGGAUAUGUUGGAUUGGAUUUGACAAAGUUGCAGACUUGCAGUAUUGUACUAUUGUGGCGCCAUGCGAGAAUGUCAAACGAGGAGUUAUUGAAAUAUUGACUUGGUAAUAUCAAUAGGAUCUCAUUUGAUAUUGAUAGAUAGGUUAAAUUAUUUUUUUUAGAGGAAGAAAGAAUAUAUUUUUUUAAAAAUAAAUUUGGCUAAAAAUGUGAAUAAUAAGGAUUCGAAUUUGGGAUCUCGGAUACCAACUAUCGAGUCCUUUGCCUCCCACGGUGACAGAUAAAUCAAAAUCAUGUGCUGAUACUUUUGUAAAAUUGACUAUAUAUUGAUGGUAAAAAUGUGUGAAAUUUAUAUAAACUAUGGACCAUUUUCAUGAGUUGGCUAUCUAAUCUUUCAAAGUUUUGAUUUUACAAUUUGAACUUUCAAUUUGUUUGAUUUGAAUCAGUUGAUGACACUUUAAUUUUAAAAUUAAGCUAAUUCCUAAUUACUUUACUAAACUUAUAGUUGCGAGAAUUGUAUAACAUAUACUAAAUAAAUAUGUAAAAACAAACAAUACUUUCAAAUUUUAAAGUCAAAAUAUUAUUGCCCGGUUCAAAUCAAACAAAUUGAAAAAUUGGAUAGUUGGGUAACUAAAUCAGAAAGGUUCAUAGUAAAAGUAAAUUCUAUACAUUUUUACCUAAUUUGAUUUUUGUUUUCAAUUUACAAUUUUCACUUUAAAUUUUAAAUGACAGAUAAAAGUAACUUUUACGGACCAAUCUUUUAUGCGAAAUAAAAUACCUAUAAAAUUCUUUUUCUUUUUUUAUUUGAGAGAGAAAGAUAACAAGCUAUCUGUUCUAUUUAUUUUUUAAAAAUUAAAUUCAAUUAGAAUGUAAAAUAAUUAGAAUUUGAAUUUGGAACCAAAAAAUAU